AUUGAACGCUGGCGGCAUGCUUUACACAUGCAAGUCGAACGGUAACAGGCCGCAAGGUGCUGACGAGUGGCGAACGGGUGCGUAAUGCAUCGGAACGUGCCCAGUCGUGGGGGAUAACUACUCGAAAGAGUAGCUAAUACCGCAUACGAUCUAUGGUUGAAAGCGGGGUACCGUAAGGCCUCGCGCGAUUGUAGCUGCCGAUGUCAGAUUAGGUAGUUGGUGGGGUAAAGGCUCACCAAGCCAACGAUCUGUAGCUGGUCUGAGAGGACGACCAGCCACACUGGGACUGAGACACGGCCCAGACUCCUACGGGAGGCAGCAGUGGGGAAUUUUGGACAAUGGGCGCAAGCCUGAUCCAGCAAUGCCGCGUGCAGGAAGAAGGCCUUCGGGUUGUAAACUGCUUUUGUACGGAACGAAACGGCUCUGGUUAAUACCCGGGGCUAAUGACGGUACCGUAAGAAUAAGCACCGGCUAACUACGUG
This 482-nucleotide ribosomal RNA is filed under the name uncultured bacterium. RNAcentral describes it as "partial 16S ribosomal RNA". It matches the Rfam family "Bacterial small subunit ribosomal RNA", at positions 30 to 507 of the family's 1533-position model. The record is from RNAcentral.